GCCAGUGUGGUCCAAUGAUUUGGGUGCUGGACUGGGACUCUGGAGACCAGGGUUCAAAUCCUCAUUCAGCCA
Molecule: transfer RNA, 72 nt
Filed under: Phrynosoma platyrhinos (Desert horned lizard)
Lineage: Eukaryota; Metazoa; Chordata; Lepidosauria; Squamata; Phrynosomatidae
Description: tRNA-OTHER
Source: RNAcentral